GAACUCCAAUGGUGUCUGUGUCAGCACGCCCACACCAGGCCACAACAAUUGCUGCCGCCAAUGUCCCAGUCCCUAGAGAGGUCUCACCUCUCACCGAGAUGUGCUCAGAGCCUAUCAGUUGCCUUGAAGAUGUUUGACAACAAAAAGAAGGCCAGAGGACAGUGAGAGGCCAAGAGCAAACUUGACCACGAGAGCUUCUACAGCACCAACACAAAGCCUUUCAGGAGAAAUAGCUAAUGGCGUAGAGGCAUUUUCUGUCUGUGGAAAAGCACUCAGAUCGUCCAUAGGGAGUCAGAAAUUCUGAAGAGUUAAUACCUCUGGAGCAACCCUCAACAAACGAGAGAUUGGUGUAAUAUAUGAGGUUAACCCAUCCAACCAUGAUUUCAUGGUCACUAUUGCUCAGGAGGAGGCAUUACCACGGGAACAGCUUCCUCAGAAUGACACAAAUGGAGAAGACCAAAUCCGUCUAGAACUCCAGCUGAGAGGAGGAUGCCAGAUUUCACCCUCAAUAGAAAUUCUAAUAGUAGGUUCUAUCAUGUAAAAAAUGUGUGUCUAACAACAUGGCAUGGUAAAAGAACAAGUUCAUUGUCAAUGCUACUUUCCCUAAUUUUAUUAUUUUUGCCAAUUUUGAUUGAUUGAUUAAAUUAUCUGUAGGCUCAAAUAAGUGCCAGCCAGGCCAUGUUUUCACUAAGUUUUCCCAUACAGCCUCAAAAAAAAAUGAAUGAUCAGUUUUAAUGACUCCAUCUUAUAAUUAAAAUCAACAACAACAAUAAUGUGAAAAAACUCAAGAUAUUAGAAGAGAAAUGAAGUAUCAGUUAUUUUCCAUUGACUCAGAGUUACAAGUUUAUCACAUAACCAGCUGUAUUCCACUCAAAUAAUUAAGACUUAGCUUCUGGCACUGGAAAACUAAUUACACUCCUUUUUUACACUUUAUAAGUCCCAUUAAUCAUAAUGUUUAAUUUUGCACCACAACAUUUUGUCUGAUACAAGAAAAUAAAAUGUAGCUUUCCUUAGUGGGAAAAUAACAUAGGGCUAUUAUUGGUAAAUCAAACGUUACUAGUCUAUACAUUCACAUUGUUGGAUUAUUUCACUGUUUUGGUCACUUGAGGUUCAUGUUUAAAACGUUGCAUCUUUCUUUUCAGGUACAUUCCUUUAUUAAAGUUAGAAUGUAACCAUAAUUCAAAAGUGAGCCGGAGCAACACUUGAGACAGGUACACCCAUUUCAAACCAAACAAUUCUGCUCACGUUGGUCUCUAUAGGAUCAUUCUUGCAUUUCAAAAUAAGACAACCCAAGGCCUUUGAAACAUUGUUGAGAGAGAAUGACAGCCAAACUUUUAAAAUCUCUAUGAAGGAGACGGAGUAUGUAGUUUGCGCUAUUUGAGUGUCCUAUAGAUAUGAUAGAUAGAAUCAUGGAAAGUUAUUGAGGAGUUUCAGAAUACUUUUAGUGAAAAUCUAUGAAUAUUUUUAUUUUUGGCACCUUUUAUUAUUUUUCGUAUUCACUACUUCAGAAAAUAUUUAUAAAUAUACUAAAUAAAAAUUUUUAUUACUGAAAGAUGCGCUAUUGAGGAUCAUAGUGUCUCCAGGUUGGAGAACACAUAAAAGGCUAUAUUAUAAGACUCUCCUUCAUUCUUCUAUUCCAGUCAGCAAACUACACAGCCAGAAGACCAAAUCCAGGAUGCCACUCUUUUAGUAAAGUUUAUGGGAACACAGCCACGCAUGUUUAUUUGUGUAUUGUCUCGGGCUGCUUUUGCACUACAAUGGCAGAGGUGAGCAGUUGCAAGGAGACUGAAGUCCUGCAAAGCCUAAAGUAUUUACUAUCUUUCCUUUUACAGAACACGUUCACUGAAUCCUGCUACAUUCAAUAAUAUUUAGUAUGCAAGCUUGCUGUGUAGUGGAAAUGUACACCGUGCAGUGUAUAUAAUGAGAAAAUUGGAUUUUUUGAGAAUUUAAGUGGUUGCUUAUAAUCAUAUAGUUCACUAGAUACAAUUCUAGUAUUCAACUGAUAUUGCAUAGUUAUGAAGUCAAUGUUUUUCCUUUACUACAGGAAUGUGAGAUCUGCCUCAUUAAGCUCUGCAAACUAGACAUCAGCUAAAAAUAGAGCACUUAUAAAAAAGUAGCCAUUAGCUAUUUUAUAAAGUUAAUAUUUUCCUAUGUAUACAGGUCAUUGUAUAUAUUUCACAUAAUGAAGUAUAUUUUCAGGAUUUGGAUUUUGGCUACAUGAUAAUCCUUAUUAUGUUCUUAGUUGAGAGAAGCAGCCAGAAGGUCAUCUCAUCCAACACCGUAACGUCAAAGCUUCUUGACUACCACCUUCUGCCCUUGGCCACUUAUUAUCAGUAGUCAAUCUGUCGUCACUCAUGGACGCUCACUUGUAAAACGGCAAAAUUAUAAAUUUCUCUCUGAGCUCUUAUUUUUCCACUACUCCAGAUUUAUUCCUUAAAAACUGAUCUUUGUGUAUCAAAAAAUACAUAUUCCUUUUGAUUCAGAAAUUUACUUCAAGACAGUUAUACUGUAAGUUAUUCUGGCACUUGUCUACACAAAUACAUUUUAUUUUGUAAUAGGAAAAAAAUCAGCCAAUUACCUAAAUGCCGAUAGAAGAGAUAAGUCUUGGUCUAUCCAACUACUAAAUUAAUGUUAGCUUUUUAUGAAGUUAUAUCUAUAACACAUACUACGAAAUGAAGAGAGCAACGUGCAUAAGUGUGAGUAGAUUCUUCUUCUCAAUCCCCUUCUCCUCAGUGUUAUUGUCCAUUUGUCUUCCUCUGUUUAGCUUAAUUGCAUUGCUAUGCACCAGGUGUCCAAGACAGAGACUGAGUCUCCUUUGCAAUUCUUUAUCCCUUAUCUAUUAUUGGUCAGGAAGUUUGGUACAUAUUAUCUCCACAAUGACUCUCCAAGUCUAUCUUUUCUGCCUUGUCCCAGCUGUCACAGCUCUAGGUCAAGCUCCUUUUUCUCUUUACUGAAUUUCUGAACUCCUACAAUAAACUCCCGACCCCUAUCCUAGGAAGCAGUAUUUUCCUCCAGUCUUGCAAUAAAAUCUCCCCAUUGCCUUCAAGCAAUAUUUCCAAAGAGACACUUGAUUAUGUCAAUCUCCUUUUUCGAAAAUUCGAAUGACUCCAUUGCUCACAUGAUGAAGCAACAGCUGACCUGGCAACAGCUGCCCUCUUUAGUAGGGGUCAGAAAUCCCAUAUGCCUACAGGAGGAGAUGGAAAUUUAAAAAAUGAGCCUAGUGGAGUGCAUGACCCAUUUCAUUUGGACAGUUGCCCCUCAGCUUUAGCCAAUCUUUGUCAUCUGAGGGUGUGUGUCCAAUCUCUGCCUUUAUCAUCACCAGUAGCUCCCAUUAUUAAAUAUGCAAGAUCAGCUCUAAUAUCACUUUCCUUUCAUAGCUGUCUCUGGCCAACCCUUCCCCUAUCUCCUGCCCCAGUUCAAAUUAAAUUAAAUGCUUCCUCAUCUGUGUACAGAACACUCCACAUAUAUGCUUAUGAUGCUCUUUACCACCGUGUAUUUUAGUUUUCAUUUGACACAUCUGUCUUUCUUCCUAAAAUGUGAUCUCCAUGAGGGUAGGAAGCAUGACAUUUAUGUUGUGUAAUUCUCAAGGCUGAGGUCCUGCAUUUAUUAGAAGUGAAUUAACAUUUGAAGCAUAGAAAAGUAAGAAUAUGAACGAAGCAGUUCAUGAGCUGAAAAGAAAGGCAUAUGAUUAGUUCAGUCUUAACAUCAAGGGGGAUAGUAAAUGCUUCACUGAAGAGAUAAUUUUCAAGUGAAUCUUGAAGAGCCAAUAGGAAUUUCCAGAUAGAAGAUGAAGGCGUGAAGGAUGGGGGGAAAGUGAGAGAAAGGGAUUCUGUACUCAGGAAACAAGCAUUUGCAGACUCACACGAAUAUGGCCUGUGCUGGGAAUGAAAGGCUGUCAACAACGGUGAAUUGCAUGGGAUUAGGAAGGGUAGGAAUUAGUCAGGGACGUGGACUGUAGACUGAGUUCAAAGUGAUAGACACAUUCUAACUGUCAAUGUAAAGUCUUGGGAUUUCAUCUUAUGGGAUGUGGGAAGUCAGGGAUAUUUUUUAAGUGGAAUAUUGACAUGAUUCAUCUUAAAACUGUUACUUAUUGAAAAUAUAGGCCUUUCAGCUAUGUAGAGAGUAGCUUGGAAGACAGAAGGACUGGUUGGAGAGAGGAUACAGCUGAGGAAGUUGCUGAAAAUAUAUAAGGCACAAAGGAUGAGGCACUGAGUUUGAAGAGAGAGAGAUUGGAGAGCCACAGAUGGCAGACAUAUAGAACUUGGAGUUUGUGAAUUCUGCUGUCUUGCCAAAGCAGACAAGACUUUGCCAGACUUUUUUUCUGGCUAGAAAUCUCACUGCUCCACUCACAUGCUCACUUCCUACUUACUCUUCAACACACAGAGCCAUUUCACUUCUGAGAGGAAGUGCUCUUUGACAGACCCCACACCUGACCCUCAGGCUACGUCAGGUACCACCAGUCCUCUGUAUCCUCCUAGCCCUUCUGCAACAGUCUAGCAGCACAGGCACCUGAGUAUAUAUCUCUGUAAAUCUUUCAUUUUAUACCAGGCUGUGAGGAUUUUGAGGAAAGCGUCUGUGAGUUGUCCUGUAGUAUCUUUUUUUUAACACCAAGCAUUGUAGGCUGCAGUAGAAGUUCACUGAAUUAAUAAACAAAAGGAGGUCUGACAAAGUAAUUGUGGUAAAUCUGGGACUCCAGAUAGUUAAUAUAACUGGAAUUGUUACUUUCUUUUAAAUCUUUCGAGCUUUGACUUCCUUUCUACCCAUUUGCCUCAAUAAUUUGAGAUAAUGUUUUCUGUGAUGAUUAAGUGUACAAAAUGGAUUGUUAAUUUUUAUUUAAUAAAACACAUACUGUGUUUUAAGUGCUACAUCAUCAAAAACCUGAUAUAGAUUCAGCUAUGAAAAUUUAAUUAAAUUUUCUCUCAUAAAAGCUAUCUAAAAAGUAUUCUGUACUUUUUGUAUUAUGUAUCUAUCUGUAGCUGCAUUAUGAGAGCUCACACUGAAAUAGUGCUAAAGAUUUUCAGUCAAUUGAGGUAUAACAGAGAACAAAAUUAAAGUUUAAGAAGGUAAUUCAUUCUUUUAUCAUUGAAUUAAAAUUAUAGAGAAUUUUCAUUUUGCAAACAAUUAGCAGAUACAUCAUAUUCCACAUAUUUCAGCUCAUAUUCU
Long non-coding RNA from Diceros bicornis minor, 5163 nucleotides. RefSeq lists it as uncharacterized. The transcript has 4 exons. The record is from RefSeq and is a predicted model, not a curated record. Lineage: Eukaryota; Metazoa; Chordata; Mammalia; Perissodactyla; Rhinocerotidae.